GGAGGGGUGGAUGAGUGGUUGAAGUCGCACGCCUGGAAAGCGUGUAAGGGUUAACAGCCCUUCGGGGGUUCGAAUCCCCCUCCCUCCGCCA
Molecule: transfer RNA, 91 nt
Filed under: Limnobacter sp.
Lineage: Bacteria; Pseudomonadati; Pseudomonadota; Betaproteobacteria; Burkholderiales; Burkholderiaceae
Description: tRNA-Ser
Rfam family: tRNA
About the family: Transfer RNA (tRNA) molecules are approximately 80 nucleotides in length.
Source: RNAcentral